This 454-nucleotide ribosomal RNA is filed under the name uncultured bacterium. RNAcentral's name for it is "partial 16S ribosomal RNA". It matches the Rfam family "Bacterial small subunit ribosomal RNA", at positions 28 to 507 of the family's 1533-position model. The record is from RNAcentral.
GAUGAACGCUGACCGAAUGCUUAACACAUGCGAGUCUACUUGAACUUCGGUUUGGGUGGCGGACGGGUGAGUAACGCGUAAAGAACUUGCCUCACAGUUAGGGACAACAUUUGGAAACGAAUGCUAAUACCUGAUAUUAUGAUUUUAGGGCAUCCUAAGAUUAUGAAAGCUAUAUGCACUGUGAGAGAGCUUUGCGUCCCAUUAGCUAGUUGGAGAGGUAACGGCUCACCAAGGCGAUGAUGGGUAGCCGGCCUGAGAGGGUGAACGGCCACAAGGGGACUGAGACACGGCCCUUACUCCUACGGGAGGCAGCAGUGGGGAAUAUUGGACAAUGGACCAAAAGUCUGAUCCAGCAAUUCUGUGUGCACGAUGACGUUUUUCGGAAUGUAAAGUGCUUUCAGUUGGGAAGAAAAAAAUGACGGUACCAACAGAAGAAGUGACGGCUAAAUACGUG